UGCCGAUUCCCACUUUCACUCUUUUGCCUCGAGACUUCCUAGGGAAAAAAGUCUACGAUGGAAUUUUUAUACUAUAGUAAGCUGUUCUCAAUGGGCUUAGCCGCCGUUCAGCAGUGGAAUAUUCCCAUGAUAUAGUCGCUCAGUUGUGAAUUCCUUUCUUGAGUCCAGGAUAUCGGAAAUAACAUCUAUAAAGAGUUGCCGAAACCGGUGCUACACCCAAGCAUGGGCUUUUUCUUUCUCAAUUGAUUUUUCAUUACAUGACUGGGAAUCUUCCUUUCAUCGGUGGCCAAAAGAAAAGCCCAAAGUAUUCACUUACUACCUAAUUCCGAGUUUCAACCGAACUGCUGGCACCCGUUUUCCAAGCUCUUGCUUUUAGGGCAGAUAGAUGGUCAGCUUAGCUAUGAAUUUGACAUGACACGGUCCCUCCGGAGAGUACGAUGUUUGGCUUGCUGCUCUCCCAUCUCAUUAGGGACAAAACCCACCACACGAAAGCUUUUUCAAAGCUAUUCCCACUGCUUCGGAAUCUUACUCUUCACAGGUGGUGCUACUAAAAGCUGGGGAAAUCCUCUUGCAAAGGUCCAAAACUAAGGUUCUUCAUGAACGACUUGCCUGUGAAAAGCAUAUAGCUAUUCAUUCGAAUAUGGGACACCAACUGUGAAGGAGGGUUCCUCGGAUGAUUGCUUCUAUCGACUGUCCUUCUCUAUGUUGACUGGGGAAGCCUCUCAAUGUGCAACCUUACUUUGCUCAGCUAGUGCUACUCUUUCUUUUGGCCUGAUCUCGUAAAGAAAGGAAGGCUCAUGAAUGACCAAUCCCUGGAGGAACACUAUGAUUCUGCUUCUGUCUGGUCGUACUAGGCCAUUAAGGUUUCACUACUUACUAUGUGAAUCUUUNN
RNAcentral lists this long non-coding RNA (892 nucleotides) under Elaeis guineensis (African oil palm). RNAcentral's name for it is "long non-coding RNA (EGUI_LNC069261)". The record is from RNAcentral. Lineage: Eukaryota; Viridiplantae; Streptophyta; Magnoliopsida; Arecales; Arecaceae.